This 492-nucleotide ribosomal RNA is filed under the name uncultured bacterium. RNAcentral describes it as "partial 16S ribosomal RNA". It matches the Rfam family "Bacterial small subunit ribosomal RNA", at positions 29 to 507 of the family's 1533-position model. The record is from RNAcentral.
AGUGAACGCUGGCGGUAGGCCUAACACAUGCAAGUCGAACGGCAGCACAGUAAGAGCUUGCUCUUACGGGUGGCGAGUGGCGGACGGGUGAGGAAUACAUCGGAAUCUACUUUUUCGUGGGGGAUAACGUAGGGAAACUUACGCUAAUACCGCAUACGACCUACGGGUGAAAGCAGGGGAUCUUCGGACCUUGCGCGAUUGAAUGAGCCGAUGUCGGAUUAGCUAGUUGGCGGGGUAAAGGACCACCAAGGCGACGAUCCGUAGCUGGUCUGAGAGGAUGGUCAGCCACACUGGAACUGAGACACGGUCCAGACUCCUAGGGGAGGCAGCAGUGGGGAAUAUUGGACAAUGGGCGCAAGCCUGAUCCAGCCAUACCGCGUGGGUGAAGAAGGCCUUCGGGUUGUAAAGCCCUUUUGUUGGGAAAGAAAAGCAGCAGGUUAAUACCCCGCUGUUCUGACGGUACCCAAAGAAUAAGCACCGGCUAACUUCGUG